AUUGAACGCUAGCGGGAUGCUUUACACAUGCAAGUCGAACGGCAGCGCGGACUUCGGUCUGGCGGCGAGUGGCGAACGGGUGAGUAAUGUAUCGGAACGUGCCCAGUAGCGGGGGAUAACUACGCGAAGGCGUAGCUAAUACCGCAUACGCCCUACGGGGGAAAGCAGGGGAUCGUAAGACCUUGCACUAUUGGAGCGGCCGAUAUCGGAUUAGCUAGUUGGUGAGGUAACGGCUCACCAAGGCGACGAUCCGUAGCUGGUUUGAGAGGACGACCAGCCACACUGGGACUGAGACACGGCCCAGACUCCUACGGGAGGCAGCAGUGGGGAAUUUUGGACAAUGGGGGCAACCCUGAUCCAGCCAUCCCGCGUGUGCGAUGAAGGCCUUCGGGUUGUAAAGCACUUUUGGCAGGAAAGAAACGUCGCGGGCUAAUACCCCGUGGAACUGACGGUACCUGCAGAAUAAGCACCGGCUAACUACGUG
This 484-nucleotide ribosomal RNA is filed under the name uncultured bacterium. Its description in RNAcentral is "partial 16S ribosomal RNA". It matches the Rfam family "Bacterial small subunit ribosomal RNA", at positions 30 to 507 of the family's 1533-position model. The record is from RNAcentral.